RNAcentral lists this long non-coding RNA (306 nucleotides) under Hordeum vulgare. Its description in RNAcentral is "long non-coding RNA (HVUL_LNC014174)". Lineage: Eukaryota; Viridiplantae; Streptophyta; Magnoliopsida; Poales; Poaceae. The record is from RNAcentral.
UCGAUUACACAUACUACUCCAAAAUUUCAUAUUUUCGUAGUUUCGGUGAGACCACAUUACUGGUAUUUAAUUGUUAAAAUUCGGAAUUUUUGAGUCUUGUAUUUCAGUUAGUCCCGGGCAUGGGCAGCCCUGCCCGGCUGGCCCGGCCCGAAAGCCCGACAUCCGGCUGACACGCACCAUUAGGACGGCCAAGCGGGCCUCCCGCGAAGGCGCGGCCGAGGCGACCGCCGGCGCGUGCGCACCACCCCUCCGGCCGUCUCGAGCGCGUAGCGACGAGGCCAUGGCAAGGAACUCGCCGAAUGCCNN